This 460-nucleotide ribosomal RNA is filed under the name uncultured bacterium. RNAcentral's name for it is "partial 16S ribosomal RNA". It matches the Rfam family "Bacterial small subunit ribosomal RNA", at positions 338 to 795 of the family's 1533-position model. The record is from RNAcentral.
CCUACGGGUGGCAGCAGUGAGGAAUAUUGGGCAAUGGACGAAAGCCUGAACCAGCCAAGCAGCGUGAAGGAUGACUGCCCUCUGGUUUGAAAACUUCUUUUAUAUGGAAGUAAAAUGUUCCACGUGUGGGAUUUUAUAUGUACCAUAUCAAUGAGGAUCGGCUAACUCCGUGCCAGCAGCCGCGGUAAUACGGAGGAUCCGAGCGUUAUCCGGAUUUAGUGGGUUUAAAGGGAGCGUAGGUGGAUUGUGAAGUCAGUUGUGAAAGUUUGGGGCUCAACCGUAAAAUUGCAGUUGAAACUGGCAGUCUUGAGUACAGUAGAGGCGGGCGGAAUUCGUGGUGUAGCGGUGAAAUGCUUAGAUAUCACGAAGAACUCCGAUGGCGAAGGCAGUUCACUGGACUGCAACUGACACUGAGGCGCGAAAGUGUGGGUAGCAAACAGGAUUAGAUACCCUGGUAGUC